GAGGGACAACCACCCAAGAUGUGUUCAUGUUUGCUUCUUAAUGGUUUCAAGUGUAUUUAUUCAACUGUUAUAAAGUGUUGUUGUUUAUGUCUCUAAGACUACAAGGUGGCACGACGAUGAGAGCUACAGGAAGUGUGUUGGUGGUCGUUAUCUGGUCUGUAACAGGAACUAUGGCAACAAAAUGUGGACAAACAAGCCUACUGAUGGUGUCUCCCACCAACCCAGUGUGGGGGCAGAAAGUGAUAUUGACCUGUAACGCCCCUGUAGUCUGAGUGACAACCAAAACCACACCUACAUCGGGUACAAGAAUGGAUACCGUCUUGUCGAUUCCCCCCUCCGGCAAUACACUGAAACCAGUUAUUAUACACACAGUUACUCCUGUGCUGUAAAUGGUUCUGAGGAUCUCCGCUCUCCUGUAGUCUGUAUUCUGGGUAAGUCCUGUUUCAAUGUGACUUACACCCAUCAGACAAUCUCUGCCUUGAUCGGCUCAACAGUGGAUCUUCCCUGCACAUACCAACAUCCGAAUAACCAUACAGUCAUAGAAAUGAACUGGUAUAUACAAGGAGAACGUAAUAAGGCGCCAACAAACCUGAAAUCAUUGCCAGAGUAUUCAGGUCGUGUGAAGUACCUUGGAGAUAAUGUGAGUGACUGUACCCUGAGAAUCACAGACCUGAGAGAGACUGACUCAGCUGAGUACAAGUUCAGGUGUAAAUUCACCUUGAGUAACAAUAGGUUUGCAGAGUGGGGGUACAGCUUCUCAGGAACUACUCUGACUGUCUCAGGACAUGCUCUCCUGUCUCCCUGGGUUCCCGUGGUUACAGUGGGGGCCGUCCUCACUGUUGCAGUUCUUCUAGUCACCAUCUACUGUACCCUGAGGAGGAGAUCUACAGGAGGAAGUGACGCUACAACAGACCCACAGAGAGUCCAUCCUGAUCCUAACAGUGACAUGUACUCAGCUCUGUCCCCCACAGAGUGUCCAUCCUGAUCCUAACAGUGACAUGUACUCAGCUCUCUACCCCACAGAGUGUCCAUCCUGAUCCUAACAGUGACAUGUACUCAGCUCUGAACAUGAGGAACAGAUCAACAGACUACGACACUCUAAAUACUCACCCACUGACCAACCAACAGAUAGAUGCAGAGCCCCAUGUUUAUGAGAACUUAUGAGAACCACCACAGAAUCUGGACUGAAGAGAACCACCACAGAACCUGGAUUGUAAAGAACUACCACAGAAUCUGGACUGAAGAGAACCACCACAGAACCUGGACUGAAGAGAACCACCACAGAACCUGGACUGAAGAAAACCAACACAGAACCUGGACUGUAUAGAACCAACACAGAACCUAGAUUGUAUUCGCUUACUUUCUGACUGUCUCUAUACUUUUGAAGAUGCCAUUCUCCUGAAUUAUUUUCCUUCACUGGAUUUCUCUAAAAGAAUAAGGUUGUUUUUGACAACCAUGUUCACAAUGGCUACUUCUACUAUCAUCAACUGGUGUCUCAAUUUAAUGUGAAGUAGUGUUUGGAACACAUUUACAUUUAAAUACAUUUUAGAGAAUUUGAAUACAAGCUUCACAUUCAUGUAAUUUUCCUGUAUUGUUCUACUUGUGCUAAUACAUACAGAGUACAGAAAAAUGGAUAGUCAGCAUAGACAGAAAGGUUUACAGUAAAUUACCAUUUAACAGUAAAAGCAGCUCAGGUUUGUCUUCCUGCUUCCCUCAUUGUCACACCAAGUACAAGAACAUGGUCCAGUACAGUGUCACAAAUCUCCUUAGAGAUUAUUGUUCUUCUUCCUCUCCCAUGUCCACCUCUCUUUC
Molecule: RNA transcript, 1812 nt
Organism: Esox lucius (northern pike)
Lineage: Eukaryota; Metazoa; Chordata; Actinopteri; Esociformes; Esocidae
Exons: 7
Source: RefSeq, a predicted model, not a curated record